AAACAAAAAAAAAAAAAAAAAAAAAAAAAAAAAA
Molecule: non-coding RNA, 34 nt
Filed under: Prorocentrum micans
Lineage: Eukaryota; Dinophyceae; Prorocentrales; Prorocentraceae
Source: RNAcentral